AUGGGGAAAGCCUGAUCCAGCAAUGCCGCGUGAGUGAUGAAGGCCCUAGGGUUGUAAAGCUCUUUUACCCGGGAAGAUAAUGACUGUACCGGGAGAAUAAGCCCCGGCUAACUCCGUGCCAGCAGCCGCGGUAAUAC
This 137-nucleotide ribosomal RNA is filed under the name uncultured Sphingomonadales bacterium. RNAcentral's name for it is "partial 16S ribosomal RNA". It matches the Rfam family "Bacterial small subunit ribosomal RNA", at positions 371 to 526 of the family's 1533-position model. Lineage: Bacteria; Pseudomonadati; Pseudomonadota; Alphaproteobacteria; Sphingomonadales. The record is from RNAcentral.